RNAcentral lists this long non-coding RNA (2152 nucleotides) under Strigops habroptila (Kakapo). RNAcentral describes it as "lncRNA (ENSSHBG00005007345.1)". The record is from RNAcentral. Lineage: Eukaryota; Metazoa; Chordata; Aves; Psittaciformes; Psittacidae.
GCCGGUGCUCCCAAGGACACGGGAGAAGCGCAAGACCCGGAUGUCUCCAGGAAGACCUGCGAAGCUCACAGCAUCUCCAAGAAGCCACGUGAAGAUGGGAACACCCUGGAGAAGUCUGACCGCAACCACAGCGCUUCCAAAGCGAGUGGGGGGCACCUCGAUGCACCCAAAGACAUCAGCAGAGACUCCAAGCUCCUCCCUGUGGUUGGCGACAGCUUCCAGGAGAUCAGUGGCGACUCCUCCUGUUCCCUUGGAGAGGUUGGUGAAGACGCCAAAGAUGCUGGUGGAGACCCCAGAAGGGUUGGUAAAGACCCCGAAGAGGGUGAAGACUGCAAAGAGGCUGAUAAAGACCGCACAGAGGUUGGUAAGGACCCCAAUGAGGUUGGUGAAGGCCCCAAACAGGUUGAUGGAGACCCCGAAGAGGUUGGUGUAGAUCCCAUAGAGGUACGUGAGGACCCCAUAGCGUUCCAUGAGGACCCCUUAGAGUUCCAUGAGGACCCCAUAGAGUUCCAUGAGGACUCCAGCAUGGGCAUGGCCGCUGCUGAGGACCCCUGGGGUGGCACUUGGGCUUGGGAAGCCUCAAGUUCCUCCUCCUCCUCGUGCUCCUCUUCCUCCUCAGAGGAUGAGGUGGGGGUGGAGGACGACGGGGCGCCGCUGCCGCCGCCGGAGGAGCUGGGCCAGGGGAACCCCUUCCUGCUCUUCCUGUGCCUGGCCAUGCUGCUGGAGCAGCGGGAGGCGGUGAUGGGCCGCGCCGGGGACUACAACGAGGUGGCCAUGCACUUCGACCGCCUGGUGCGGCGCCACCACCUGCCCCGCGUCCUGCACCGCGCCAAGGGGCUCUUCGCCCGCUACCUGGAGGGCUGGGGGGGGGCGCCCCCGGGGGGGCACAGCACGGGGUAAAUUGGGGGGGGUGUGGGAUGGGGGGUUCGAAGGGGUGGGGGGGUAAUGGGGGAAGCCCAUGGACAAUAUAUGGGGACUGUGGGUUCGCUUUGGGGGCUCUUGGGGCAUCAUGGGGAGCCCGAGGGCAAUGUGGGGGCUCCAUGGACACCAUGUGGGGACCCACAAGACAAUGUGGGAACACCAUGGGGAGCCCUAGGUCAGUAUGGGGACCCAUAGGACAAUGUGGGGACCCCAUAGACAGCACAUGGAGAGCUGUCAGUCCUCUUCGGGGGCUCCUAGGGCAUCAUGGGGAGCCCGAGGGCAGUAUGAGGACCCCAUAGAUACCACAUGGGGGCCUGUAGGUCAAUGUGGGGACCCCACACAUACCACAUGGGGACCUCUCGCUCCUCUUUGGGGACACUAUGGAGUGCCCUAGGUCAGUGUGGGGACCCAUAGGUCAAUGGGGGGACCCCAUAGAUACCACCUGGGGGCCUGUAGGUCAAUGUGGGGACCCCGUAGACAACAUGUGGAGACCUGUUGGUCCUUUUUGGGGACCCACAGACUGCUGUGGGGACUCCCAGGUCAACAUAGGGACCUGUAAGCCCAUAUGGGGGCCCCCUUGAACCCCUAUAAAGGACCUCUAAGAGACAAAUGGAUCCCCUGGAGACACUCCAGUAUGGACCAGUAUGAAUCACUACAUCCCAGCUGGGAACUCCUGGAUCUAAAUUGCCUUGGGCCAGACCAGUAUGGACCAGCACGGGUCUGGGUUGGAGCAGGAUGGACCAGUACAGCUCCAUCAACUGGGAUCGCUGCUUUGAUAUGGCCUUCAGCCCUCCCAGUAUGGACCAGUAAGGACCAGCACGGCAGCCCAGUGGGAGCUCUUCACCUGCGUGGCCUUGCGUCCUCCCAGUAUGGACCAGUACGGACCAGUACAGCAUCUUGCCCAGGAUCUCUUCACCCCUGUGGCCUUGCGUCCUCCCAGCAUGAACCAGAAUGGACCAGUAUGGACCAGUACAGCAUCUUGCCCAGGAUCUCUUCACCCCUGUGGCCUUGCAUCGUCCUAGUAUGGACCAGUAUGGACCGAUAGGGCGCCCUGACUGGGAUCUAAUGCACAUACGGCUUUUCCCAGUAUGGACCAUUGCAGCCCAGUUCCUGCCCCCUGCCCCGGGUGCCUUUUACCCCCCUCCUUAUUUAUUGCCCCCUGCCCCCGGGGGGGUAUUUGGGCAUCUGGGGGUCUGUGGGGUGCUGGAGACGUGAAUAAACCUGAUGCCCG